This 464-nucleotide ribosomal RNA is filed under the name Celeribacter sp. RNAcentral's name for it is "bacterial SSU rRNA". It matches the Rfam family "Bacterial small subunit ribosomal RNA", at positions 172 to 671 of the family's 1533-position model. Lineage: Bacteria; Pseudomonadati; Pseudomonadota; Alphaproteobacteria; Rhodobacterales; Roseobacteraceae. The record is from RNAcentral.
UAUACGCCCUUCGGGGGAAAGAAUUUCGGUGAGGGAUCGGCCCGCGUUAGAUUAGUUAGUUGGUGGGGUAAUGGCCUACCAAGACUACGAUCUAUAGCUGGUUUGAGAGGAUGAUCAGCAACACUGGGACUGAGACACGGCCCAGACUCCUACGGGAGGCAGCAGUGGGGAAUCUUAGACAAUGGGGGCAACCCUGAUCUAGCGAUGCCGCGUGAGUGAUGAAGGCCUUAGGGUCGUAAAGCUCUUUCGCCUGUGAUGAUAAUGACAGUAGCAGGUAAAGAAACCCCGGCUAACUCCGUGCCAGCAGCCGCGGUAAUACGGAGGGGGUUAGCGUUGUUCGGAAUUACUGGGCGUAAAGCGCACGUAGGCGGAUUAGUCAGUCAGAGGUGAAAUCCCAGGGCUCAACCCUGGAACUGCCUUUGAUACUGCUAGUCUUGAAUUCGAGAGAGGGAGGUGAAUUCCGA